This 643-nucleotide unclassified non-coding RNA is filed under the name Homo sapiens (human). RNAcentral's name for it is "major histocompatibility complex, class II, DQ alpha 1 (ENSG00000225890.10, ENSG00000236418.8)". Lineage: Eukaryota; Metazoa; Chordata; Mammalia; Primates; Hominidae. The record is from RNAcentral.
CUGACCACGUUGCCUCUUACGGUGUAAACUUGUACCAGUCUUACGGUCCCUCUGGCCAGUUCACCCAUGAAUUUGAUGGAGACGAGGAGUUCUAUGUGGACCUGGAGAGGAAGGAGACUGUCUGGAAGUUGCCUCUGUUCCACAGACUUAGAUUUGACCCGCAAUUUGCACUGACAAACAUCGCUGUGCUAAAACAUAACUUGAACAUCCUGAUUAAACGCUCCAACUCUACCGCUGCUACCAAUGAGGUUCCUGAGGUCACAGUGUUUUCCAAGUCUCCCGUGACACUGGGUCAGCCCAACACCCUCAUCUGUCUUGUGGACAACAUCUUUCCUCCUGUGGUCAACAUCACCUGGCUGAGCAAUGGGCACUCAGUCACAGAAGGUGUUUCUGAGACCAGCUUCCUCUCCAAGAGUGAUCAUUCCUUCUUCAAGAUCAGUUACCUCACCUUCCUCCCUUCUGCUGAUGAGAUUUAUGACUGCAAGGUGGAGCACUGGGGCCUGGAUGAGCCUCUUCUGAAACACUGGGGUGUUACCUACUAAGAGAUGCCUGGGGUAAGCCGCCCAGCUACCUAAUUCCUCAGUAACAUCGAUCUAAAAUCUCCAUGGAAGCAAUAAAUUCCCUUUAAGAGAUCUAUGUCAAA